AGGAAAGGGUGUGCAACCUCCAACUGAGCCAUAGGUGCCAAGGUGGAGAUGUCCUAAGUGCCAGCGGAAAAGGGACCUCCUCUUCCUCCUGGGUAGACACUCAGGCAUCUGCUUGGUUCAGUUGCCCCUUCACAAACCUCAGGCAUUUCAUUCCAGUGGCAAGGCACAGCUUGACCUGACCCUUGCCCAUAAACCCUGAUGGUCUUUGCGACACAAAAUCGGGUCUGGAAUCCUCUGCAUGCACCCCAGGAAAAGGAACGUAUUGGAAGACGUGCGGGGGUGCUGCACAGAAAGAAGGACAGCCUAGGAGUACAGAAGUGCUCUUGCAAAGAAAACACCACAUUUGCUGUGUUCCCUGCUCCAGCUUCCCACUGGUAAACAACUGCAGCAUCAAACACAAAGUUUGCGCAGAGCCUGCAGGCCAGGCUUCCUGGACAGUUUGCCUCUGGGAAGGGGCAAUGUCUGGAGGCUCAGCAGUUAUUAAGCAUGGGACAACCUGGAUGGCAAGCUUGGAAGUCGCUCCUAUUGUGAGCAUGGAGAUUUGCGCCCAAGCCGCCUCUGUGCACAAAGCUUUGAGUGUUUCCAAGAAGUAGCUGAACCCGGAGAUUAAAGGGAUCAGGAGCUCAGCACUCUUGAUUGAUUUUGUAAUCAA
Strigops habroptila (Kakapo) is the source of this 652-nucleotide long non-coding RNA. RefSeq lists it as uncharacterized. NCBI's taxonomy places the organism in Eukaryota, Metazoa, Chordata, Aves, Psittaciformes, Psittacidae. The record is from RefSeq and is a predicted model, not a curated record. The transcript has 2 exons.